RNAcentral lists this ribosomal RNA (253 nucleotides) under uncultured bacterium. RNAcentral describes it as "partial 16S ribosomal RNA". It matches the Rfam family "Bacterial small subunit ribosomal RNA", at positions 524 to 776 of the family's 1533-position model. The record is from RNAcentral.
UACGUAGGGGGCAAGCGUUGUCCGGAUUUACUGGGCGUAAAGCGCGCGUAGGCGGAAGCUCAAGUCUGGCCUGAAAGACCCCGGCUCAACCGGGGAGUGGGGCUGGAAACUGGGUUUCUUGAGGGCGAUAGAGGAGUGUGGAAUUCCUGGUGUAGCGGUGAAAUGCGUAGAGAUCGGGAAGAACAUCGGUGGCGAAAGCGCUCUACUGGACGGUGACUGACACUCAGGGACGAAAGCUAGGGGAGCGAAUGGG